GCCCGCGUAGCUCAGCGGAACCAGAGCAGCCGUCUUCUAAACGGCAGGCCGCAGGUUCGAAUCCUGCCGCGGGCGCCA
Molecule: transfer RNA, 78 nt
Filed under: Escherichia coli
Lineage: Bacteria; Pseudomonadati; Pseudomonadota; Gammaproteobacteria; Enterobacterales; Enterobacteriaceae
Description: tRNA-Arg
Rfam family: tRNA
About the family: Transfer RNA (tRNA) molecules are approximately 80 nucleotides in length. Their secondary structure includes four short double-helical elements and three loops (D, anti-codon, and T loops).
Source: RNAcentral